This 497-nucleotide ribosomal RNA is filed under the name uncultured bacterium. RNAcentral's name for it is "partial 16S ribosomal RNA". It matches the Rfam family "Bacterial small subunit ribosomal RNA", at positions 28 to 507 of the family's 1533-position model. The record is from RNAcentral.
GAUGAACGCUGGCGGCGUGCCUAAUACAUGCAAGUCGAGCGAACGGACGAGAAGCUUGCUUCUCUGAUGUUAGCGGCGGACGGGUGAGUAACACGUGGAUAACCUACCUAUAAGACUGGGAUAACUUCGGGAAACCGUAGCUAAUACCGGAUAAUAUUUUGAACCGCAUGGUUCAAAAGUGAAAGACGGUCUUGCUGUCACUUAUAGAUGGUUCCGCGCUGCAUUAGCUAGUUGGUAAGGUAACGGCUUACCAAGGCAACGAUGCAUAGCCGACCUGAGAGGGUGAUCGGCCACACUGGAACUGAGACACGGUCCAGACUCCUACGGGAGGCAGCAGUAGGGAAUCUUCCGCAAUGGGCGAAAGCCUGACGGAGCAACGCCGCGUGAGUGAUGAAGGUCUUCGGAUCGUAAAACUCUGUUAUUAGGGAAGAACAGAUGUGUAAGUAACUGUGCACAUCUUGACGGUACCUAAUCAGAAAGCCACGGCUAACUACGUG